AGAGUUUGAUCCUGGCUCAGGACGAACGCUGACGGUGUGCCUAAUACAUGCAAGUCGAACGAGCUUUGUGAGAGUGGCAACACUCCUGCAAAGCUAGUGGCGAACGGGUGAGUAACGCGUGGGUAAUCUACCUUGGAGAUUGGGAUAACCUUCCGAAAGGAAGGCUAAUACCAAAUGCCCUAUAUUCUCCGGAUGGAGAAUAUAGGAAAGGGUAGCCGCAAGGCCUCCGCUCCAAGAUGAGCCCGCGUCCUAUUAGCUAGUUGGUAGGGUAAUGGCCUACCAAGGCUAUGAUGGGUAGCCGGCCUGAGAGGGUGACCGGCCACACUGGGACUGAGACACGGCCCAGACUCCUACGGGAGGCAGCAGUAGGGAAUAUUGCGCAAUGGGCGAAAGCCUGACGCAGCGACACCGUGUGGAGGAAGAAGGCCUUCGGGUUGUAAACUCCUGUCAAUUGGGGACGAAGGUGCUUGGGUGAAUAGCCCUAAGCAUUGACGGUACCCAAUAAGGAAGUCUCGGCUAACUCCGUGCCAGCAGCCGCGGUAAGACGGAGGAGGCAAGCGUUGUCCGGAAUUACUGGGCGUAAAGAGCGCGUAGGUGGUUUCUCAAGUCGUGUGUGAAAACCCUAGGCUCAACCUGGGGAUUGCACACGAAACUGGGAAACUUGAGUGCAGCAGAGGAAAGUGGAAUUCCUGGUGUAGCGGUGAAAUGCGCAGAUAUCAGGAAGAACACCGGUGGCGAAGGCGGCUUUCUGGGCUGCUACUGACGCUGAGGCGCGAAAGCUAGGGGAGCGAACAGGAUUAGAUACCCUGGUAGUCCUAGCUGUAAACGAUGGACACUAGGUGUGGGAAGUUAUCGACGCUUCCUGUGCCGUAGCUAACGCGUUAAGUGUCCCGCCUGGGGAGUACGGGCCGCAAGGCUAAAACUCAAAGGAAUUGACGG
Molecule: ribosomal RNA, 939 nt
Filed under: bacterium enrichment culture clone BSK_56
Lineage: Bacteria
Description: bacterial SSU rRNA
Rfam family: Bacterial small subunit ribosomal RNA
Source: RNAcentral